GAUGAACGCUGGCGGCGUGCCUAAUACAUGCAAGUCGAGCGAACGGACGAGGAGCUUGCUUCUCUGAUGUUAGCGGCGGACGGGUGAGUAGCACGUGGAUAACCUACCUAUAAGACUGGGAUAACUUCGGGAAACCGGAGCUAAUACCGGAUAAUAUUUUGAACCGCAUGGUUCAAAAGUGAAAGACGGUCUUGCUGUCACUUAUAGAUGGAUCCGCGCUGCAUUAGCUAGUUGGUAAGGUAACGGCUUACCAAGGCAACGAUGCAUAGCCGACCUGAGAGGGUGAUCGGCCACACUGGAACUGAGACACGGUCCAGACUCCUACGGGAGGCAGCAGUAGGGAAUCUUCCGCAAUGGGCGAAAGCCUGACGGAGCAACGCCGCGUGAGUGAUGAAGGUCUUCGGAUCGUAAAACUCUGUUAUUAGGGAAGAACAUAUGUGUAAGUAACUGUGCACAUCUUGACGGUACCUAAUCAGAAAGCCACGGCUAACUACGUG
Molecule: ribosomal RNA, 497 nt
Filed under: uncultured bacterium
Lineage: Bacteria
Description: partial 16S ribosomal RNA
Rfam family: Bacterial small subunit ribosomal RNA
Source: RNAcentral